RNAcentral lists this long non-coding RNA (8293 nucleotides) under Daucus carota (carrot). RNAcentral's name for it is "long non-coding RNA (DCAR_LNC005918)". Lineage: Eukaryota; Viridiplantae; Streptophyta; Magnoliopsida; Apiales; Apiaceae. The record is from RNAcentral.
CUGACUUCUUUUGUCUAUAAGGACCUGCCUCACUAAAGCAGCACAUCUGUCAUAAUAAUCUGAAAAUAUGCUCAACUGCAAUUGAAAAGAAUUGUCCAAAUAUUGUAAUUAGGCUUCAGAAAGCCCCAUGUAUCGAGUACUUUCUGGGAAGCUUAGUUCGUUUAGUGUUAUACUGCAAUGUGAGUAUCUGCAAUGUUGAAUCUGUGUGUCGUAUUCCCUCUACUGAACACUAACUGAACCAUAUGAUAGUUCAUGUUUGUAUCUUGUUCAAAGUUGAUUAUCAAUUUGUAUGAUUCAACUUACUUUUUGCUUCUUUUUUAUAGUAAUCGUAUGAUUCUUUUUCCAUUAACUUGUGUAUCAUGUGCCGAAAGCAGGACGAAUGAAGUCCAAAGCUCCCGAAUCAUAAUCAUUGAGGGAAUGAAUCUGUUGCUGAGUGAAAUUCGCGUUAAAUACUGGAUAUUCAGAGUAUCUGUCACAGCCUUGAUGGUGGAUUUAUUUGGAUUUAAGAAAGUUUUAGUGACAUUCAAUGAGCAGGGCAAGCAUCUGUGAAAUUAUCCUCCUUAUAUCUGCAAUUGCUUUUCAAGGACCUCUCUAUAAUCGUCUCCGUCUCCGGGCGCUUUAUCAAGAAGGUAUAUGAGUUUAUUAAGCUAAGUGACAAUUAUCUAAGGUUCUUGUAUAAACCAGUUCAAAAAAAGUUGCAGCUUAGAAGAAUAUAUUGUUCCUUGAACAGAACUAAACCAAGCUGCAACAAUAAUAACAGCUUGCAAUUCUAUUUAUUCACCUCAUAGAGUUACACAGUGGUCAUUAUUACGAAACAUUUCAAUUCAUCUAACAAAUCUGAGAAAUUGUAAUGAAGCUAAACAAUCUUUUAAAGGGCAAAAAAAGACCAAAUCUUAAAGGAAACCUUCUAGAGCGGAAAAACAUCUACUAUACACUAUAAGAUAUUAUUAAUUUUAUCUUGAAUCAUCUUAGUAACAGGCUUCGACGCCCUACAAGAAAGUCACAAACCAUGUUUCCCUGGCCCUUUAACGUGGCAGUCGAAAAGGAUUUGUCCCUUGAGGCUUUAAUGUAAGGUUCAAAAUAUUAAUCCUGUUAGGUGAUCUACUUCCUUAAGGAUUUAAGUUCAAAUCUUAACAUUUAUGCUGUCACUCUUAAGCAGAAGCAAAUCUGCACAACAUUUAAGACAUCUGCAAAAGUAUUACUAGGCAUUUGUAGAGAUUAAUGGCAUUAUUUUCCACGAUCUUGCAAUAUUACAUAAGAGCAAGUCCAAUAGGUUACCUAAACUUGCUCCUAAACUCACAUUUAGGUAAUGAACUAAAAAAAUGCACUCCAACACUCUCCUAGUGGUUACUUAAAUCACCAGCACAACCUCAAAUCUCCUAGCCAUUACCUAUUUAUAAGUAAUCACUAGCCAUUACCUAUUUAAUAUUUAUGAAUAAAAUAAUCAAUCUCUCUCCUUCUUUCUUUGUCUUUUUCCUCUCUUCUCCUUUCUCUCUCUCAAAUUUAUUACUAAAAUAAUCUUAGGAGAACAAAUAUAAGGAUUGCUAUUGGAGUUGACACUAAAAAUAGAUUACAUAAAUCACUAAGACUCGCUAGGAUUCAUUAUUUUAUAUUAUUAAUAGGUAAUGAGAUAAGUAACCUAUUGGACUUGCUCUAACUAGUAAAAAAGAACUUUAGCUACAACCAGAGAAGUGCCAUUUUCAAUUUUUUAUUGUCUAAUAGUAACUCUGUUUUUUAUGGAGGAAACAUCACAUACAAUGUUAAAGCUAGUUUCUGUAAAGUAAUCUAAGGAUCGCAAGAUCAUAACACAACUGAAUCCGCAAGGCUGAAAGUUCCAGGUUUACAUCAAUAUUAUUGCAGAAGACCAACUGCCCUAUAAGCUGUUAUUCAUAAUAUGGAUCCAAAGAUGGGUUAGUUUGAAGCCUUCCAUAAUUCAUAAUAUCAUCACUCACCCGAAAACACCAAAAAUUUACUCAACUCGUGUGAACUUCUAGGCAUGGCUAGUAAAAAGAGCUCAAAUCACAAUUUUUAUGUCAUAUGUCUGUUUAUAUAACAUACAUAAAGAUGAAGAACUUAGAAGCCUUUGGGGAGUGGUAGCAGAACGCCAGAACAUGAACUUAAAAUGUUACAAGUGUUUGGUAAAAAAAAAAAAACUCAAAAUCUCUAACGGUAAAUAUUACUCCUUCCCACUCAUUUUGUCUAACUUAGAAAUACACCGUAUAUUCACUAACAUUAAAUUAGCCGAUAAUUAUUAAAAAAAUUAUAUUGCUUUUCAUAUAUAUUAACUUAGUUUAUAUUGAAUUUGCCAUAUUUACUAAACAUGAUAAUUUUGGAUCACGUACAGUAGAAAAUGAGGGAUUCAAACAAACAAUAAAAAAAAAAAAUCAGUUAGAGCAUCUCCAACCCUCACAAGCCCUUAGGUAAAAGUCCACGUGGCUUUUCAAAAUUAAAUUUUAUAGCCAAUGUUCACAAAAACUGGAACUCCAGCCCCAGCAACCCCUUGUGUAUAAUUAUAGUCAUCCCACUAUGGAUGGCUAUAUUUGUCGAUCCGCUACCAAUCGGUAGCGAAUUCCACGUCAUCUCCAGCAAUUUAUUUUUCUACUUUCCACUGAUUACAUAUUAUUUAUUACCAUAUUAAACUGAAAUAUUCUAUUUAUUAUAAUCUAAAUAUUAAUAACAUGCUAUUUUUAAAUUAUAACCAACCAAUAUAGUCAAUACCAUUGAAGCACAAUGUCUUACCGGUUCGGCAAAUUUUACAUAAUGUCUUAAAGAUCCAAUUUAGCCAACGAUUGUAACCAACGUCAUUAGAGAUACUCUUAACAUUAGUAAUUAUUUAUUUAUUUACAUUAGUGUAAAUAUCAAAUACAUACAAUCAAACAUUCAUUCAAUAAAAAAUAAAGUUAUCAUUUUGAAUAAUAAAUUUAAAUAAAAUACAGAAAUGUCUAAAAUUUCAAUAUUAAAUUAUGUGAUUGUUAACUAAAAAAAAAAUAAUAGAAUCUAGAUUAAUGAAAUAUCUGUCCAGAUAGUCUAAGUGGAGAAACGGAUUUAUUGUAGAAAGGAAACAUUACUCAUCAUAAAAUAGAAUUAAAAUUCUUCAAAUUAAACAAAAACAAAAUACAUUCAAAUUGAACAGAAACAAAUUACAAAUUUUAUGAUAAUAUGAUGUGAUGCACGAGUGCCGAGAAUCUUCCAGGUUGUUUCCAAGACUUCUAGUUGGUUUGGAUCAAGAUACGUUCUAGUUGGACGGGAAUGUUCUUCAGCUCUUCACACUUCUUUAUUCUGAAACUUUUGAGGCAUGGGAGUGCUCCAUCCUCGACUUGCAAUUCUUUCAGAUUAGUGAAUUUUUGUAGUCUUAAGACUUGAAGACUUGGAAACGAAUUUUUACUGCAAACCAUUAUAUCCCCUCCGUACACUUGAUGCAAAUCAAGAGUCGUAAGAUUCCGUAAAUUUCCCAGGCUGGGCAUUGGAUCUUCAGUGAACCCACUCUCAGAUAGAGCUAAAUCCUCGACUGAAUCCGGAAGAAAACAGAAUUCUGAUAGUUCUAUAACACCUUUUAAAGUUAUGCUCUUGAGACGAUUCAAAACCAAAAACGGUUUCAAUGUUGAAAUAACGACAUCAUUAUACCUUUUAAAUAUGAACGUUUGGAGAUUUGUUAAAUUAGCAAUGGAUUCAAAAGUGCCACCUCCUCCUCCCACUCUAUCUCUUAUAUAUAAUGUACGGAGGUUAGUUAAAUUGACGGUAUCAAUCUUGACCCAUUCCUCGAAAAUUAUACCAUAAAAAGAAUGGAGUUUUGUUUGAUGGCUACCUAUAUUCAACCUCCCGCUAAUUUUAAUCAAUAUAAGAUACAGGUGCCUCAGCUCAGGCAGCUCCCAUAUCUCUCUGGGAACUGUGUGGGAACAACCAAGGGGCCCACCCCAUAAACUUUGUACUCCCUCUGUCCCAGUCAAUUGUAUACGUUUCUUUUUCACUGCUCGACACGCUUUUUAAGGCUCUUAUAAAACAUAAUUCCACAACUUAUUUUUAAGAUUUUCUUUUUUUGUAUAAAAAUAUAAAUGUUAUACUUUUAUACAAAAAAAGAAAAUCUUAAAAAUAAUUUACAGAACUAUACUAUAUUGAUGCUUUAAAGUCCGUGCCGCGCCCCCGUCCCCCAAUGUAUACUAUUGACUGGGACGGAGGGAGUAACUUUUUCAGCUUGCCUAUAGUUGCCGGCACUGCUACUGUUUUCCUGACGCUACCCAUUAAGCCUAAAAACUUUAAAAGAACCAGUUCCCCUAAUCCUUCUGGUACCCUCUCUGAUUCUACCCUCGACAUAUCAAGCACCGUAAGAUUUUUAAAUCUGGUGUAUAUCAACUUCAUUUCUUUUAAUUCCACUUUAACUUUAUAACCUUCCACCACUAAGGAAUGCAAAUAUAAAGCAUCAAAUCUACGUUGCUCAAGUAAUUUCAAGUACUCACCAAUUUCAUCGUAGAUAGCAUGACGCCGUUGUCCUUCCAAUAAAUGGGUGAGAUUUGGUUGGUGUUUACUUGAAUCUGAAAUAACCAAAUUCUUCUGCUCCUUUGCUUUUCUUAUGGCAAGUUCACGGACAAGAUCAUGGACCUGGCAUGCCAAAACUUUCCCAUUCAAUUGCGAAUAAUUAAUCUGAAUUAAGUUGCGAUUAAUCAGCUCGUUCAGACAAUCCUCGGCCAAAUCCUCCAUGAGUACUCCAUCUCCUUCUUCAUCUUCUGAUAUGAAUUCCUCUGCAAUCCAUAAAUGCUUCAAACGUUCGACAUCAAUAAUUUCGUCUUCUGGGAAUCGUGCAAGGUACAGAAAACAAUCUCUCAUUUGGUGAGACAAGUCUUUAUAACUCAAGCUGAGUAUUUCUACAAUAUCCACCGAGUCAUCCCUCAAGUUUCUCCAGAUAUGCUCCUUCACCUUUAACCAAUAGUCUUUGCUCUUGUUGUGCAAUAAAAGGCCGCCCAGUAUCACAAUUGCAAGUGGUAAACCUCCACAUUUACCAACCAUCUCCCUUCCCAACUUCUCCAGAUUGUGGGUUGGUUCUGCUGUCUUGCAGAAUAAUUCCCAGCUUUCCUCUUCCCUCAACAAACGAAGUUGAUAGGCUAAACAAUUCUUAUCCACAGUCUCUGCGACUUUCUUGUUUCUGGUAGUUAUCAUGAUCCUACUACCGUUGUCCUGGUUUGGAAAUGCGAUCUUGAUCUGGUUCCAAGCUUUUAUAUCCCAUAUAUCAUCAAUAAGUACCAAAUAGCAACCUUGAUUCUCGAGUAACUGUUGUAGGUAUUGCCGCAAGUCAUGCUCAUCCAUGUUUGACAUAUAUUCUUCGUGCUGAGGUCCCUUGAAAGACUUUAUUAUCCUCUUAAGGACAUCUUUGAUGGUAUAUUCGUUGGAGACGCAAACUUUAGCACGGGUGCCAAAAUGUCUCAACUCGUUAGAGUUGUACAACUUGAGGGCAAGUGAAGUCUUGCCUAAUCCCCCCAUUCCGUGAAUAGAAAUGAUUUUAAGGGGAGGAUCCUUGCUAUUAAGUUCUUUCAUCAAAUUCUGAAUAUCGUCCUUGAAACCAACCACAUCCACAUGGGUAUCAAUGGCGCUUGCUCUUAUGAAGGUUCUCUCUUUCUGUUUCAGGUCUGGACCGGCUAAAAUAGUGUUGAUCCCAUACUCAAGGCGCCUCUCCUUGAUCACACCGAUCCUUUUCUUGAGUGACUCGAUAUCAUUGCCAAUGUCGUAAAGCUGAGCUUCUUUCUUGCAGAUGCAGAUACAGUUGAGAAAUCUGUCCAUAUGACCUUGUUCCAGACUGGCUUGUCCAUCCUGAAACGUCUUCAGGAUAUCCACAGCUUCAUUGGCAACGUCUCUGACAUUGUUUAGCCAUAGACGGAUGAGUUUCUCUUCUUGCCUUGAUUCUGCAAGUUCUACGGUAGCCUGGAGGAGGCCCAAUUCUUCUUUGAGCCAUCUUAUAUCAUCUCUAACUCCUAUUCGUAUGUUAACCUGGUGCACAAGAAAAUCACCAAGCUUUUCAAUUGCAAAAGAUAUUACAGCAUCAGCCAUACUUUUCUACCAAGUCAAAAAGAAAGGAAAGCUGGGAAAUAUUUGCAAAAGACUUUGGUAGGAGAUCACUGAGGGAGAAAGAGUACUUCAAAGUGAAACUUAUCAUUAAAAUUCAUUAAUUGCUACAAUUGCUGCUGAUUUGCUGGACCUCAUACCCUGCGAAUUAAUCUGGGUUGCAUCAUGCAUUAUUGUUAGUUUAGACUUUUACUUAUCAAAUAAUAGAAUUAAAUAUAAAUCUAUAAUUAUAUUUUCUUUCGCAUGGAGUCAUCAGGGAGUUUUUUAAGAUUCCCAUGGAGAUGAAAGUGACUGAUAAGCGAACAAAUAGAGAAAAAUACAGACGACCUUGCGCAUUAUUCUUGCUAGACCUACCGGAGGAAUAACGUGGCCCAACUCGUCAUCCUAUUAUUAUACUUACCUUGACCCUUAUACGGCUGUAGAGAAAAGGCUCUGUAUAUCACAAAACCUACACGUAAUGUCCAAAAUAGCAGAGCUCGGAGAAAUGAUUCAAAAUACUAUUUAUUAAUGUCAGAUAAUCUAUCAUUUCGAUUUUUGAAAUAAAAUACUAGAUCAUGUUGUAUUUAGGUAUGAAUGUCAUAUUUGAGGUGCAACCGUUGAAAGCAUUUGGCAAGAACUUAAUCAAGCUCAAACUAUCUGACUAAUGUCAAUAUACUUUAGACAAUUUAUCAGCAUGGAUUGAAAUAAAGACGAGAACUAUACCAGUAAUCAUUACCACUAAUCAUUAUCACGAAGCUUACAAUUAUGAUUGAACCUCGAGGAGGAGGAUCAUCGUAUAGUUUGGCCGCAAAAGUCUGGGGAGUCUGAUCACCGUUGUGCAACGACGCUUGGAACGUCAGAUAGUACAAAAACUCAUGAGAAAACGAUCUCAUUUCCUUUGAUGACAACAUUGGUAUACUUCUUGUUUCCCUGCACGAGGAACGCUUAAUGAAAAAUACAAGAAAUAAACAAGGACAGUGGAAAAAUGGAAAAUGUUUCAUACACAAAAUCAGAUACAAAAUUUUUCAUAAAAUAAUACGUGUUAAGUUUUGAUCGGAAUGAGCUCCUUGUAUAUGUGUUAAUAGCAACAACUAAAACAUCUAAUCUCUAACUGUUAUGUUUUGUAUCCAAUUUUGUGUGUGUACUCUGUAGCACUACUUCGGAAAAAUUGACGUAUUGACAAACCUCUGUGUUACGAUAAAGCUGAGUGGCCUCAUUUUGUAGAGUAAUGAUGCCACAAACCUUACGAGACAUGGACGAAUAGUCUCCAACCUGAGAACCAUGACACGAGAAAAUUAAGAUAAUGAGAUUAACGCGAACAAAAACAGUUAGAAGGUUCCGGACAAAACAAAUAAACCAAAAUUGCAUAUUACAAUAAAAUUCAAUACGACAAGUAAAGAUGCAAUAUUUACGAGGUGUAUUCGAUUGGGAUUUUAAGGAUUGUUUGUGGUAUAUGGAAUUUUAAUGGAUUGUAUGUGAUUUUGAUUUUGUGCGGAUUCUUGAUCAAAUGUCGCAGAGUUGAUAAGAUUUAAGUACAAUACUUCAAAAUCCCAUUGAUUUUGGUGGGAUUCAAAAAACUUAAAAUACACCGAAGAAUGCUGGCAAAAAAAAUAUAUAUAUACCGAAGAAUGCCACAAAAUCCAUCAUUUUAUGAAAUCCAAAAAAAUCAAUCAGCAUUUGAAUACCAUCAAAUUUUAAUGGAUUUUAAACAAUCCAAUUGAAUACCAUCGGAUUUUAAAACAUAAUUUAAAAUCCCAAUUGAAUAACACCGGAUUUUGUAGCAUAAUUUAAAAUACCAAUUGAAUACUUCAAAAUUUUAAUGGAUUUCAAACAAUCCCAAUCAAAUACCCUCAGAUUUCGUUAAUAUAAAAAAAUAUUUAAAAUCUCAAUCCAAUAAACCUUUCUCUUCGGCAUCGUCUUUUUAUUAUUUGCAAUUGCUUUCCAAGGACCUCUUUGUACAGUUAAACCUCUUUAAAGUAAUACCCCUCGGACCGGGGAAAAAUAUUACUUUACCGAAUUUAUUAUUUUAUCGAUAUAAUAAUAUUUUAUUACUUUAUCGAUAAAGUAAUAUUUUAUUAUUUUACCGAAUUUUUAUAUGUUUACAAAUUACAAUUCAUUAUUUUUAAAAAUAAGAAUCAGUCACAUACAAUAAUUAAUCAUAUGUGAAAACUAAAUUCAUGCAUGCACUGAAUAGAGUAUACAUGUACUGUAACAUGUGCAGUGUACGUAUUGUACAUCAUCCCAAGCGUGUCAUCAAAGGAAG